UACGGAGGGGGCUAGCGUUGUUCGGAAUUACUGGGCGUAAAGCGCACGUAGGCGGCUUUGUAAGUUAGAGGUGAAAGCCCGGGGCUCAACCCCGGAAUUGCCUUUAAGACUGCAUCGCUAGAAUUGUGGAGAGGUGAGUGGAAUUCCGAGUGUAGAGGUGAAAUUCGUAGAUAUUCGGGAGAACACCAGUGGCGAAGGCGACUCACUGGACACAUAUUGACGCUGAGGUGCGAAAGCGUGGGGAGCAAACAGG
This 253-nucleotide ribosomal RNA is filed under the name uncultured bacterium. RNAcentral describes it as "partial 16S ribosomal RNA". It matches the Rfam family "Bacterial small subunit ribosomal RNA", at positions 524 to 776 of the family's 1533-position model. The record is from RNAcentral.